Molecule: long non-coding RNA, 410 nt
Filed under: Pan troglodytes (chimpanzee)
Lineage: Eukaryota; Metazoa; Chordata; Mammalia; Primates; Hominidae
Description: long non-coding RNA NONPTRT015609
Source: RNAcentral
AUUGCUACAACAAAAUUCUCUUGGCCAAGUGUAGUGGCUCUUGCCUUUAAUCCUAGCACUUUGGGAGACAGAGGCAGGCAGAUGGCUUGAGCCCAGGAGUUUAAGACCAGCCUGGGCAACAAUAACAAAACUCCAUCUCUACAAACAAAACAAAACAAAAAUUAGCUGGGCAUGGUGGCGCAUGCCUGUGGUCCCGCUCUUGACUCUCAGCACUCUUCCUGUCUAUGGUCCCACUCCUGCACCUUAGGCUGUCCAUUUGCAUUAAUUCUCUUUAGUUUCAGAGACUUUCAUGUGAAUUUAUUGGGCCUGGUCACUCAUUUCACACCUCCUGGGAGACAGUAUCUCCCUCAUGUCCCGAUCCCACAAUGGUGAUGGGAGUGUUUAACACAGAAAAACAGUGGUUUCCCCAG